AUGUUAGACCAAAUGUCAACACACACUGAGAAUAUGAAUUGUAAGAAAGGAUACAAGAAAACAGUAGUAAUAAUUAUAGAACUCAAUGUAAAGAUGCAGAAAUGUCAGCAUCGAAAUUCAUUAUGCAAUUACAGUAUGUUAUCAGUCUAUUUUAACUGUGAAUAUCCCACAAAAAUUUUAUGUAAAAAUUGAUUUAUUUCAACAUACUAAAUUGUUUCCACAAUGGUCAGAUUCAUUCUGUAAUCCGUAUCAUGAAAGCCUAUAACUUUCAAUGUAAGUUUAAUUAUGUACAGCUCAAACAAUACAUAUGAAGUUAUUGUAACUGUAGCACGUUAUAUACACACCAGAGGCAGUAAACAUAUGAAGUCAGACCUGGAAGAGACUUCGUCACGAGAAAUAUGUGCAUGUCUUUGUAGAAAUAAAUAGGUAAAAGACUAAUUCCACUGUGUCACUUAUUUGACAAUCUGUGUAUCACAAAUACUGUCUUGAUAAUGUUGUAUAUUGAUAGCAGGCAUUUCUCACAAAGAAAAGAUUAUUCAUUUACUGAACAUCUACAACACCCAUUUGAUAAAGUGCACACAAAAAAGUUAAGUAGCCAAGACUAUUCCCAAAAGCACCAACACAUUAUACACAAAUGCAUAAAAUGAUUCCAUAAAGUCUUCUAAAUUUCUAGAAUACACAGUUUUCCCAAACAAAAAUUUUGUCGGUACUUAUGGCCCAUUCUGAAUAACAAAAUCUAGUUUCCAAAAUAACAGUUUGUUCAUAUGCCAGUCUUUAGAUAGUCGGAGGGCACCCAGUUUGCAGUCUGCCCAGUCCUGGUCAAAACUAAAACUAAUUAUUAUUUUACAGUGCUUCAUUAAUUUGUGCUUCAAUAACUCUACAAUUUACCUGAGUAUAUCUGUCAUAGACCUGGUGGUUGUUUGUUAGUACUGAGCCAAUUUUAUGUGCUAAUAAUCUUACAAAGUUGAAAAAGUGGUCAUCAUAAAAACAGAAGAACCCAGAGGAUUACAUAUAUGCAAAAAAGUGAAACCAAAAUUGUGGUGUUGUGUUCAUUACUUAGCAAACAUCAUCCAAAACUCAAUCAGAUUUUCAGCUUCAUGACAGAUGGCUAACAUGCUACUAGAGAGGUGAUGGAUGAGAGACUACAAAAAUCAGGCUGGUGAGCUUAAAACCUGGUAAUAGAUUUCAUAUGAUGUCUAAACUGCAAGGCAGGAAAAUUGAAAAACAGCACCUACCUGGUGCUGUUAAGUUUCACUGAACUUAGACAGUAUGAUACAGUACAAAUAAUUGAUGAAAUUUUUAAAUGGCAGUGAAGUUUAAAGUUAAUGUGAUAAGCAAUUCAUUAUUGUACUGGUAGAUUCCAUGAGUUGUGUGUGUAUAAAUAAAUAUUGAGGUUUGCUCAUGGUUAAGUGAUUGCAACUGAUGAAUUGCUUUCCACAAGAUGUCUUAAUGCUAACCAAGUUCAUUCAGUUUUUGAUACCAAAUAGUAAUUUGUAAUUGCAUUUGAUAUUUUAGACUAGUCAAGUAACACUGUGUGACAACUGUAGUCAUUAUGGUUUCUUCAUUUAUUGGGCAGCACAUAGAUCGGCACUUAAUGAGAAACAUUUCAAAUAUGUACUUUCAUAGCCACAAAAAGAUAAUUUGUGUUACAUGCUUACACAAUGAUCCUACCAUUAAGGUAAAUGAAAAAGCUGUCACCCUUACAUGAAUAAAGUUCUUAAAUGUUAUACAGUUCUUCUAAUAUUAUUUGUUGUUUUAGUCUGUUUGCUGUAUCCAUAAAUUGCACAGCAGCAUUAGCCAAUGAGGGGCACCAAGGCUAGGCUGACCAGACAUCCUGGUUUUGCCAGAACAGUCCUGGUUUUCACAUAAAUGUCCUGGGUUCCCAAGAAAAUCAUUCAGGACACUCAAUUGUUCCACUUUUUAAUCAAGAAACAAAUUGUGUUAUAUAAUAUUUUUCAUUUACUUAAAUAUUUGUGAACAACAAGUUUUCUGGAAGUAGAAUUUUAUUGGUUUAACCCAUCUUAUGCUUAAAGAUACAGAAAGAGAUGUGUUGGAGGUAAAAGCAGCAAUUACCUACCCUUGCCUCUAACUUGUCGACUGUCAACAAGUAAAAACAAAACCAAAGGAAUAAUAAAUGAGCAUCCAUUUACUUAAACCAUUUCUCCCUAUGAGACUGCAGCCAUAUAAAAGUUAAUUUUGUGAAGAAUGUGAGCAAUGUGGCAUGUGUUACUAGUGCUUAUUGAAUAUUGUUUGUCAUGUAUGCAUGCUUUCCCUAUCAGUCUGAAAUCUUAAAUGUAUAAUUUGUAUAUGAUUACUGAUUAGUAAUAUCACAUAGUUUUUAGGAUUAACAAAUUGUACAGAAGUACCUAGUAAGUGACUAAACACUGCAGAAAAUAUAUCAGUCUUUUUUUUUAUUUCUGAAGAGAAGAAUUUUAUUUAUGUGUAAUGUACCUACAUUUUCCUUUCCAAUUCACAAAGUGAAGAAACAUUCUUCAUAUUCGUUUUUCAGUUGCUGCAACAUCAUAGGUCUAUUGCAAAUUUCAAAAUAUCAUGAUAACUGACAAAAAAGCUAAGCAUAAGUGUAGUAAUUAAGUUAGAUAUGAAGUACAAACACAAAUGUCCCAGUUUUUUCUCUGUGAGAGCCUAAACAUAUUAUAUCAGUGAUGUAUUGUGACUGUUUGCGAUAUUUAUGAGACAAUAAAUAAAUAUUUGCUCAGUAAAUGUGUCAACUAAUUUAUUUUAAUGAAAUUACAUUUAAAAGAUUCUAAGAGUUUUACAUAAUAGGAAAAACUUUUGGAUAAAUAAAAUAAAACAACUGAAAGAUGCACUCUGGAGAAGGGUACUGAGAGUCACAUACUUCUCUCAAAUAUCUUGAUUACUUAAGAAACAGAGCCUUUUUGUCUGAUGCCUUGGAACAACAUUCAUUCAAACAGAUGAUCUGUUGCCGGAAAGCUACAAUCAGGUUUUCCAAUUCCAAAUGCACAAAGAGAUACUUGUACUCAAACUGUGCUUUAACAUUAUAUGAAAGAGAAGCAACAUUUACUGCACAAGAGAGUGUAUAAUACCAUUGACAGGCUCAUUACAGUCAUUUUAUUUUUGCCCUUAUAUCUUAUGUGAAGCAUGUGUGUACUUGACUGUAGCUGAGGGAUAGUUAUUUGAGCAUUACUACCCAUUCAGAGGGUGCAAUCUGUAUUCUUUUGCUUCCUCACUAUCUUUAGGUGGUGUGCUUCUACAGAGUAAUGUUCAAGGGAUGCUUGUUGGAUAAUGGUCAUUAGAGCACAAUUUCUUAGUGCAACAAAUGAGAGAGAUAAAAACCCUGAUAAAAUUCAUUAACUAUGUUUGGUUAUAAGGCAUUAUUAAUUGCUAAAAUCAACUAAAGAAAUGCAUAAAUUUCCCAGUGAUGGGAUAUAUGUAUUGGCAUAUGCUAAAAUUUCCCAGUGAUGGGAUAUACGUAUUGGCAUACAAGUAUAUGAAGUUUCCCAACAUCUCACUGUAUUUCUCUGCCAUUACUAAAUAAAUGUCUAUAAGUUGAUAAUUCAUGAAGCAAUAAUUUAAACUCAUAUAACAGAAAAAUAUAAUUUAUUAGUGAGUUUAUAAACUCAGGCUAAGGGGAAGGAGAUGAUACAAUCUCAGUUAAGUUGAGACAAUGCUGACAACUGUAAUGAUAAGUGUGAUAUGUUCUAUUAGUUCAUUUUCUGUGCCACAGUUUUUGAAUAAUAUUGACAAGUACCUAUACGUAAAAUACAAAUUAAAACAUAUUUAUUUUCAUGUAUUACAUUUCCAGUUUCUGUGACUGCUGUAAGGAAUUUCAGGUCACUAUUCACACUUUUCUAUGAAGAGCACAGAGUAGCUCAGUAUCAGUUUCUGGUCUUUAAUAUUUUGCACACUGUAUCAUGAAUGUGAUUCAGGAAAAUACUGUUCCUGAAGAUUCAUCACAAAUUUCUUUAGUAUCUGAAUGUAACUUAACAACUGUUACACAAAAAUCUAAUAUCUUGCAACCAAAACAAUUAACAAAUCUCCUCAAUUUUCUAAUACUUUAUUAAAAAAAAGAGUCAUGUUUCUUAUGUUAACAAAAAUUAUCUAUUUUAUAUUGCUAUUUUAACAACAAAAUAAUUUUGUCUUGGUUACAAAGAUGGGUAAUAUAAAAGGGCAAAUAUCUUAGCAUUGCUUAGAUUAACAAAGAAAAUUUACCAUAUAGUAAAUGGAAUACCUGAAUAACUUUGAAUUUAAUUUACAAAAGUAAAGGAAGCAAACAAAGAUGGCCUAUAAAAAUGUUGUACAGGCAAUGAAGCAGCAAGCUGGCCCAUUUCAGUGCAGACAUGUGCACGCAUGCACACACACACACACACACACACACACACACACACACACACACAGUGGUUUCUUUAUGGUACCAUAUUUCCAUUCACCUAAAAUUGUUUAAGGAAGCAAUACAGGAUCCAGAUGAUAUGUGUUGUUCCACAGUAGGAGAUUGGAGUGUGUGCAAGCUGAGACACUGAAAUGGCAGAUCAACCACCAAAUCAGUACAAAGUGGUGAAGUUUUCAGUGGAAUUGAACACAAGUCACAGAUUUGCACAAAAUUGAAUGCAAGAUGGAGUACACUAUAAGUAAAUGAGUAACUAAUGGAUACCAAGGAAGUUGGCUCUUGAGUACAGGCAUGCACAGGAUGGAAAGUCUCACUGCUCAGACCACUAUGCACAAGAUUAUUAUGUACGGGGUGAAGGAGAUAGCUUUCUCAAACAAACUACAGUAAAAAUAUUAUGAACAGGAAUGUUGCUACUCACCAUAUAGCGGAGAUGCUGAGUUGCAGACAGGCACAACCAAAAGACUGUCACAGAUAAAGCUUUCGGCCAGUAAGGCCUUCAUCAAAAAUAGACAACAGACAGACACACACACUCAGGUAAACACAAUUCACACAUACAACUGCAGUCUCAGGCAACUGUCUGAGACUGCAGUCAUAUAUGUGAGUUGCAUUUGCCUGAGUGUGUGUGUGUGUUGUCUAUUUUUGACAAAGGCUUUACUGGCCUAAAGCUUUAUUUGCGACAGUCUUUUUGUUGAACCUAUCUGUGGCUCAGCAUCUUCGCUAAAUGGUGAAAAGCCACUUUCCUUUUCAUAAUAUUGUUACAUGCCAUCCUGGAUUUUACACUGUUUGAUUUUAAACUACAGUAAAAUACUCUUACAUGAAGCUUUUGGUCACAGCCUUCAUAAGUAAAAGGGAGACACACACCAUUCAUCCACACAAGCAAAUACUUGCAUGUGUAUGAAUGAUGUGUGUCUCCUUUUUACUGAUGGAGGCUGUGACUGAAAACUUUACAUAAGUGUCUUUUAAUUGUGUUGGUCUGCAAUGUGACACAUCUUCUUUACGGCAAGUAGCAAUCUGUCUUUUCUUACAUUGUUGAUAAUCCUACAUGGAGUUUCCAUUGUUUGAAAGUACAGUAAAAGAUGGAUCAAGAUGCACCAUUAUGAACCAACGAGUAAGAGGCAUUUCAUAGAGUGAAAGAAUACAUUGUUUAUUACUAAGAAAACAUUCAUAACAUAAGAAUUCAUAGGAAAGUCAUGCAGAUGAUCUUUUGGGUAGUUGGGGAUCUAAUAUACUGGUGCAGUUCUUGGAGAAGGACAAAACUGUGAUUAAUAUUCCUGCAGUAACAUAUUUUUUAGGCAGUUGAGACCUGGCAUAAGAUAUAAAUGCUAGGCACCACUCACAAACAGCACAGUUACUCUUUAACAGCUCUUUCAUGCAGCUGCAAGUAAAUAUCUGAAAUUGUGAAAUUGAAGGUCUGGAACAAAUGAACAUUUGGGGCUAAGAAGUUUGCAGAUGACAUCUUGUUAUCCACUGGGUCUUGGCUUCUGACGAAAGUAAUAUUUUAUGCACUUCACAUGAAGUGAAUGUUGGCUCCAAGCACUAGUGUUUUUAGAGUUCUACAAUGGAAUUGGUUCACACAUAUAUACUUUUACUUUCUGUCCUAGAUAUUUUCAUUCCCUCUCUUUUCCACUGCUGUUAUGAUUUGUCAUUAUCUUUGUGUUUCCUUGUCCCACAAUUUUUUUUACUUAAUUUGCCAAACCCUCACAAAAUUCAUUAGAUGAAAUGUGCAUAUAUUGUCCCUACUAAAAAGUAGAAGAGAUUACAGUUGCGAUAAAACUCAUGUGAUAGAGCACAAU
This is a long non-coding RNA of Schistocerca cancellata (South American locust), 6159 nucleotides long. RefSeq lists it as uncharacterized. The record is from RefSeq and is a predicted model, not a curated record. The transcript has 2 exons. Lineage: Eukaryota; Metazoa; Arthropoda; Insecta; Orthoptera; Acrididae.